Molecule: small nuclear RNA, 141 nt
Filed under: Sapajus apella (tufted capuchin)
Lineage: Eukaryota; Metazoa; Chordata; Mammalia; Primates; Cebidae
Also listed under: 1 other name
Description: Cebus apella (Tufted capuchin) U4 spliceosomal RNA
Rfam family: U4 spliceosomal RNA
About the family: U4 small nuclear RNA (U4 snRNA) is a component of the major U2-dependent spliceosome. The structure of U4 snRNA from yeast and human has been reported.
Source: Rfam by way of RNAcentral
AGCUUUGCGUAGUGGCAGUAUCGAAGCCAAUGAGGUUUAACCGAGGCGCAGUUAUUGCUAAUUGAAAACUUUUCCCAAUAUCCCGCCAUGACGACUUGAAAUAUAGUCGGUGUUGGCAAUUUUUGGCAGUCUCUAUGGGGA